RNAcentral lists this long non-coding RNA (2964 nucleotides) under Nicotiana tabacum (common tobacco). RNAcentral describes it as "long non-coding RNA (NTAB_LNC000659)". Lineage: Eukaryota; Viridiplantae; Streptophyta; Magnoliopsida; Solanales; Solanaceae. The record is from RNAcentral.
AAGGAGACCCCCCCCCCCCCCUCGGCAACUGAGGAUCAUCUUCUUCAUGAAGAAUUAACACAACUGAAACACUACUCCUUCUUCAAAGACCAGCAACCAUGUCCCUUGAUUUGAAAAGUGAUAUCUGACUCUCAUUUGAAAGAACAAAAAGUAGCAGACUUAUGAAUUCCUAAUUCACAAAGAGGAGAGAAAAAUGGCAGCUAAGACCCAAUUCAAAAGAGGAGGAUUCAACGGCAUAUCCCAAAAAAGAGAGAUCAUCCUCGAUCUUCAUCUCUCAAGUUCCACACCCAAUUUCAAAAAAUAAUGACCUAGACAUUUCCCUUCAUCAAAAAUCAGUUGUUAAAUAAAAAAACAAGUUUCAGCCGAGUCCAUCAUGGUCGUUAAGUUCGUCGUUCGAGUACUCCUAUCGCGGGUCUUGUUCAAGUUCUUUAUCCGGGUUGUAAUAUCUGGGAUUCGUGUAUUUUGAUGACAUUGGAAGCUUUGCGUUUUGAUCUAUUGAAGAAUAUUAUUUGCUGAGUAUAUAGGUUCAUUCUCACCUUUCCUAAAAUUUUUGUUUGUUCAUGAAUAUUUUCCAUGUGUUGUAUUUGGGUUCUGUUAAUGCAGUUUUGAUGAAUUCAUGAAUGCUUAAUUGUGAAUGAAUUUGGACAACUGUAUGUUUCGAGUUUAAUUAGAAUUAAAAAUUUUGGUUUUCAGUUUUUUUAAAAUAGGUAAUUUACUAAAAGGGGAUCUGGCCCGGUAAGAAAAUAAUUGGGGUUGUUGAUUAUCAAUUACUCGAAGCAUGAAUUUUGGUCCUUAAACAAAGUGAUUAAUUGAAAAGUUGUAGACCUUUAACAUAUUUCUUUAGAGAAAUUGAUGAGUUGUUUCAUUACUGAAAGAUUAAAUAAUUGUAGCUAUAAUAGAUGUUAAACGUGUAAACAAUUGUUUGUGUUUUUAGGAACCACAAGAACAUUAGCCGUCGUUUUUUCUUUCAUUUGAACUAGAAAGCAAACUAAUUUGUAGAAAUUCGUUAAAGCAUGUGAAUCUUUGCGAGUUUCAAUAACAAAGCAUAUAGGACUAAUAUUUAAUAUUGUACCAACUUGUUGUAGACGGUCAAGAGAAUUAGUCGUUGUCUAUUUUAUUACUAAUAAUGUGAGAUUAAUAAUAAAUUAUCAUAGCUACAAGUACGGUUCCCGUGACGUAGUUGUGACGCUUAGUUUCUAAACUCCAGGGAUACAUUUAUGUGACCUAGCCAUAAUUUAAUCUUGUUAAUAAAAUAAACAUGGUGUGGGUCGUUGGUACGGUUCCCGUGAUAUGAUUUGCAACGUGUAAAUCAAAUAAUUGGUUGUAUAACAAUUGGAUUAUUAAAAGCGGUUUAAAAAGGAAUAAAAUGCACAUAGGUUUCAAGAAUGUUUUAAAAUCAGAUAAAAAGGCCAAUAAUAAUAGUUGAGUGACCGUGCUAAAACUACGAAACCCGGGAAUGCCUAACACCUUCUCCCGUGUUAACAAAAUUUCUUACCCGAAUUUUUGUGUUCGCAGACCAUAAAUAAGAGUCAAACUUUCUCGAUUCGGGAUUCUAAACCGGUGACUUGGGACACCAUAAAUUAUCCCAAGUGUCGACUCUGAAUAAAUAUAAAUAAUACUGUUUUGGUUAUUGUCACUUUAAUUGGAAAUACUCCCCUAUACCGCUUCCGGUGGGUAGAAAAAGGAGGUGUGACAGCUCUGGCGACUCUGCUGGGGACAAGAACCCAGAAUCUCUGGUCAGGGUUCAAGAAUUCGAGCUUAGAAUAAUUGUUAUAUUUGGCUUUUAUUUAUUAUCUGAUUUUAUUAGAUGCUUGGGCCUAAUGUGCUAAAUGCCGCUUUUUACUGCUUUGAUAUUAUUUGAAAUAUAUAUAAACUGUUGUGAAACCCUUAUCUUCUCAUCUUCGGGGAAGUGCACGCUGGCGUGACUUCUUUUCUGUUAGUGUCAUACCUUAAAUUAGGAAGAGGCUCAGACAAGUUACAAAGACGGAUGGCCUUUUGGUUCCCGGUACGUAGCCCCCCUGCUCGAGUUGUCCACUCGGGUGUACCAAGUCUAGAAUAAUACACCCAGGUUUCAAACCUAGAAUAACUCAGCCUCAUGUCGGAUCCCUAGUAGGAACAUCAUGUGCAUUUGACUUUGGGGACUCAACACAAGGGUUGGGUCCGUCUAGGACAAGUGUACCCAAAGAAUAAAAGAUCAUCCAGAUGCAUCCUAUGUGCUACAUGUUACAAUUUUCAAGGGUAAAAGAGGUCAUUUGGUGGACUAAUGAGGUUUGAUGAUAAAUGAAAAAAAGGGUGAAGUGUUAUAAAAUAAAGCAAGUAGGGCCCAGUUAUGUUUUUCUUUCAUAUUUGUUUUAAAGAAAAACAAAAAGAACCAUGAAAAAUCCAAAAAGAUUUUGCACUUUCCCAUCAUUUUCCAAAAAAAAUCAAAAAAAGAGGGAAAAAAAAUCCAAAAAGAGUUUACAUGUUUCAUCAUUUUUCUAUACAAAAGACAAAAAAAUAUAUUUUCUCUAAAUUAGUUGUUUUUUUAUUUUUUUAUUUCUCACCCGUAUCCAAUCUUCCCGAACUGCGCGAACCUGAUUCUCGUCUCUCGGGGCAUGAUACGUAGGCUUCGCGGGGUCUUAGCCAAAUCUUGUAUUUUUAGCUACUUUUAGCCAAAUAGGUUAAUUUUAGAAAAAUAGUCACAAUCAUGUUUUGCAUGUGUCCAACAGCAAGGGUUAUUGUCUCACAUAGCGUUCUAGGUCUUUAACUUUAUUUGGUCUUAAUUUUCUCAUACAGGUGUAGACUUACUUACCGGAGUUUGAGCAUGGCAAACAUCCCAGGACUGUCUGGUCAGGACCUUUGCAUCCAGGAGUUGCUUCAGGAGAAAUUUUUUAUAUUUUUAGUCUGUUUCUUUUUUUAUGUUGUCUUGUACUUUAUAGUUAUGUCCAGUAGCAAUGAUCUUUUAGUUGGUGUCGGAGUUUGUCG